AGAUGUAUCGAACCAGAAGAACACACUUCGGUGAGGAGAUGCAGAAACUCCUUGACUCGUUGGAUAAGGAGAAAUCCUUGCCUCUGAGCCUCUACUGGUGGACGAAUGUAGAUGUUUCAAGUCAAAGACGACACUGUGUAGCUGUAUGUGUAACAGAGUGUAUACAUCUGACAUCUCUGGACACAGAAAAGCUGUAGCCCUCAGAGGACUUCCGCUCUUUGUCAGGGAUUAUGGAGCAGAGAAGAUCCUGAAAACAUGCUUGAACACUGAUCCAGAAGAACAACACAC
Neoarius graeffei (lesser salmon catfish) is the source of this 288-nucleotide long non-coding RNA. RefSeq lists it as uncharacterized. The transcript is spliced from 4 exons. NCBI's taxonomy places the organism in Eukaryota, Metazoa, Chordata, Actinopteri, Siluriformes, Ariidae. The record is from RefSeq and is a predicted model, not a curated record.